UGUGCCACAUCAUCACUUAGUACAUUCUCUGACUCUCUAGCAUCAUAUCAACAUCAUCAUGAUUCAAACAUUAUUCAUAUUGAAAGUGACGCCAAUAAACAACCAAAAAUAAGACAUGACUGUACCACUUGAACAUGCCAGGUUUCCUAGCAACAGCAAUUUAACUAGUAUGUCCAUGCCUAAUUUGCUUUUAAAAUCUGUGCCAAGACUCCCACCUCGGAUAUGAGCCACCGAAAUAUCAGCUUCACCACCACUGAUGGCGAUAUCACUCCCGAAGGAGAAAAGCAGCAUUCAGAAGAUGGUGGUCUUUAAAGCAAUGCCCUGCUCAUGUUGUUGUCAUUCUUGGCUUUGCUCCUGUCACAGAAAGCUUAGCUGCUCAAACUAGAAAAUCCCUUCUUUCUACGGUUACCAAGGAAACUAUUUACUGAGACUCUUUCCCCCCACAGCAUUCAUUCUCGGUUGCCGAAUCAAGAAAAGUACUUACAUUUCGACUUCCACUCUGUGCAUAAUAAGACUAUUACAAGCACAAUGUGUUAUCUGCCUGAAAUGCCAAAGGAUCGCAGGCCUGAGAGGACUUACGAAAAAACUGAUGUGUUUUUAUUGUAUUCCCCUUCUGACGCUGAAUUGAUUGUAAUUGCUGAUGUCUCGGACGUGUAUUUGCUUCUGAAGUCUGUCAUGGUUUGAAAAGGUUUAAGGAUUAUUGUGGAAAAGGAGCAUGAGCUCAAAAUGACUGCUUUUAUUAUUUCACCAACAAUGAAGCCGUAUAAUAGUGCAUCAAAAUUUAUGAAUACGAGCGACUUGUGGAUCUAUCUGGGUCAGUGCUCAAAUCGAAGAAAAUGGGUCAAGAGACAUCAGAGAGACAGACAGAGAUCCUCUAGUCUAAGCUUUUUGCUUAACAAGAUGUUAGAAGAGGGAGUGG
This is a long non-coding RNA of Cyprinus carpio carpio, 919 nucleotides long. The record is from Ensembl. NCBI's taxonomy places the organism in Eukaryota, Metazoa, Chordata, Actinopteri, Cypriniformes, Cyprinidae.